CCGAGUUUGCUUCCCACUUAUGAGAUUUACUAUGUCAUGUUAGGCAAAUUACUUAACCCUUCUGGGAUUCAUUCCUCCUUUUGUAAAACGGGAGACAUCGAGGAAAAUGCAAAUACACAAAAUAAAUACAAGUAAUUUGGAGAAGGAAGGCAGCACUAGCAGCUUGAAGGAUCUGGAAAAUUCUUGAGAUGGGCUUUGAUGGAAACUUAGAAGGAAUGGGGGAGCAGAAAUGAGGAGGUAGUGCAUUCCAGGUAUGAGAAAUGAAUGGGCAUUUGGUUUGCACAGUUAAAAUUAAAUUGGAGAAAUGAAACAAAUUUGAAAACUGAAACCCACAAGGACAUCAAGAAAUAAUCAAGGGUGGAAGUUAUCUUCCCCCAAAAGAAUGUAAGCUCCUUGGGAACUUGGACUAAUUUUUAUAAUGAGGGAUGGUGGCCUGAGAUAUGAAAUAAAAAAAAAAAUUGUUCUUUCUUCUUAACCUUCCUCUGUUACCUUCCCCCUUCUAAAAUGUAAGCUCCUUGGAAACAGGGACUAUGUAAGAAGGGAUAGAGAUUCAUGUCAUUUAACUUCUGUAACAUCCAAUUAAUGGGGAAUCGGAGGAGGGACUUGUGCUUCAAGAUAGGAAAUAAAAUGCAACUUUGGGACUUUCAAAGGUGUGUCUAGUCACCUAGGCACUCAUUCUCACAAGAAUGUAAAAUAAAUUUUUCCUGCAUUCA
Sarcophilus harrisii (Tasmanian devil) is the source of this 713-nucleotide long non-coding RNA. RefSeq lists it as uncharacterized. The transcript is spliced from 2 exons. NCBI's taxonomy places the organism in Eukaryota, Metazoa, Chordata, Mammalia, Dasyuromorphia, Dasyuridae. The record is from RefSeq and is a predicted model, not a curated record.